Molecule: transfer RNA, 74 nt
Filed under: Phycis blennoides
Lineage: Eukaryota; Metazoa; Chordata; Actinopteri; Gadiformes; Phycidae
Also listed under: 1 other name
Description: tRNA-Leu
Rfam family: tRNA
About the family: Transfer RNA (tRNA) molecules are approximately 80 nucleotides in length. Their secondary structure includes four short double-helical elements and three loops (D, anti-codon, and T loops). Further hydrogen bonds mediate the characteristic L-shaped molecular structure. tRNAs have two regions of fundamental functional importance: the anti-codon, which is responsible for specific mRNA codon recognition, and the 3' end, to which the tRNAs corresponding amino acid is attached (by aminoacyl-tRNA synthetases). tRNAs cope with the degeneracy of the genetic code in two manners: having more than one tRNA (with a specific anti-codon) for a particular amino acid; and 'wobble' base-pairing, i.e. permitting non-standard base-pairing at the 3rd anti-codon position.
Source: RNAcentral
GUAAGAGUGGCAGAGCCCGGUAAUUGCAAAAGGCCUAAGCCCUUUCAACGAGGGUUCAAGUCCCUCCUCUAACU